This 71-nucleotide transfer RNA is filed under the name Cordylochernes scorpioides. Its description in RNAcentral is "tRNA-Gly". Lineage: Eukaryota; Metazoa; Arthropoda; Arachnida; Pseudoscorpiones; Chernetidae. The record is from RNAcentral.
UGCAUCGGCCGGGAAUCGAACCCGGGCCGCCCGCAUGGCAGGCGAGAAUUCUACCACUGAACCACCGAUGG